UUUUAAAAAUAUUUUUAUUAAUAUUAUAAAUGAUUUUCUUAAAAAGAGAGGAAUAAGAUUUAAUAUUUUAUUCCAGUUUAAUGAGUUUUCAAGGUUUUAUAUUUAAACCUCGGGUUAUUGUGUUAUUGAUAAAUAAUUGUAUUUUCAAAACUGAUUUUCAUAUAUUGUUUUGAAAAUUCUAGAUGAAUAUUAUGUGAAUAUAUGUGGUAUGUGACUAAGUGUUACUUGUGGUUUUGCUAGUUUAAUUAAUUAUGGUGAGUUACGAUUAUUAUAUGAUUAAUAUAUGAAUUUUGUGAAUUUUGUGUUAUCUAGUUUAUUGAGCUGAAUGCUCGUAUGUGUUCGUAUUCGCGAGAUUUCAAUUUCUAUAUGCUCAGGAGAAAAUAUAGUUUAUUUGGAUAUUUUCAUUUCGAUUUAUGGAAUGUUAGAUGAUUUUAUAAUCGAUUUACGGAUUUAAUUGCGUAUAUUUAUAUUUAAUUAUUGAUUAUUUGACUUCCGUAAAACCGUCCACUCGUAACGAGGUAGCAAAUUUUCUUCCCGGAAGUUUCAACAAAACUCACCUUUAGCCUAAUUUCAAUAUUCCGGACAUUUUUCGUGUUUUGACUUUUUCGAUCCGGAGUACGGUUUUCCCCGUAGUCGGUCCGGCGGAGUUUUUCGGGUAUUUUAAUUGUUGAUAAUUAUCCAGUUUGUCUCGAUAUACGUGAAACUAGAUAUUUUGAUUCAUCCUUAUCUUGUAAUAAUUGCAGUGGGACCCGCAUACUAAUGACUGAUUAAAAAGCCCCGUUCUGAUGAUUAUCUUGAAAACCAGUACCCAUUGGACCCUGCUUUAUUAAUAUAAAGCUACUAAAUACGUAUUUUCAUGUCAUAAACGAUCCAAAGGGGUACCAAUUAUUUGUAAAUAUAAAUAGACUUUUCUAUAGCUGAUUUUCACCCGUAAAAUCAUUUCACCAGUUUCUUUUCACGAAUACCGAGAGAAACCGAGCUGCGUUCUUCGUGUUCUUCGUAAUCAAACGAAGAUUUGAAGGUGUUAUUGGAAUCCGAUGGAGGCGUAUAAAUAGUCAAAACGAAGCUAUCGACGCGUAGAAUCAAGUUUAAUCACCCGUUUAUAUGCAGAUUCAACAGGAUUUGGACGUGACGAGUACGCUUGAAGACAUCAGAAAGUCAGAAUGGUAUUGCAAAGCGAAUAAGGGAUGAAUCGAGUAAGCGAAGCGAAGGUGUACGGUAGAUAGAGUAUAGCCAGAGAUGGUCUAGAAACUAUGAUAUGCAUAGAUUGUGAAAGUGGAAAGAUGAGAAUGAGCUGUGAGACGGGAGUCAGAUUUAAGAAAGGCUUAAAGAUGAGAUGAUUGAUUGAGAUUGUGAAUAAGGCUAAUGCUAGGCGAGGAGACAGAGUUGAGGAUCCAGUGGUCGAGGAGUGUUCAGGAAAGUUGAUGAGGUUGGUGCAAGCUAGAACUGUGCUAUGGAGAUUCAAGUGUAAGUCAUAGCUGGAAUAGUUGACAGUGAUUCUUCUUAUCGAAGAUGAUCUGAUUGGUAAGAGAUGUUGUGUAAUAGUUAGUGGUUGAUUCUAAUUUCAAUACUGUAACCUGGAUGCGAUCCUGUUGUUUUGGGGGUGAAGAGGUUCUCUUUUAAAUCUUUUAUUUAACGUCUUUCAAAUCUUUUAUUAAAUGUUUUCAGGUUUUAAAUUAUUUGGAUUCAUUAUCUUUUAAAAAAAAAAAAAAAAUUUACAGGUUUUCGAAAGUGUUUUAAAAAUGGGUUUUGUGUGGUGACGUCAGAAUCCAGACCCCCGGAUUCCUGGACCGUCACAGUUGGUAUCAGAGCAACAGGUUAUAAGUACUUGAAAUUAGAAUAUAGAUUUUAGUUUUAAGUUCUAUUGAUGAGGAAUAUUGUGUGACCUCAUAUAGAGGUAUUGUGAGACUAUUUAAAAAUAGUCUAGAGAUGCGAUAGAGGUAUAGAAUCUGGUUAGACGAUUAAGUUGAGUGUAUAGGUUUAGAGAGAUUUUGAUUCUUAAGUUUAGACAUAGGAUUUCUAGUAUGUUGACUAAUUGAGAUGAUGAAUUGUGCGAAAGGUCAAGAUUAGACCUAGAUAGAAGAGUUUGAUAGUGAAUGAUUGAGUUGAGAAUGGUGAAAAUGCAGAGUUCAGAGUAUUCUGACUAUACUGCAUAGUUGAAAAUGGUUUAUUGUAUUGAUUUGAGAAUGAUAAAGAUGCAUAGUUCGGAGUAUCCUGACUAUGUGUAUAUCUGGAAAUGGUUUAUCGAUUUGAUUGAAUUAUGAAAAGUGAAUGUAGAAUAUGAGUUGUGUUGGAUUAGAAGGAGAAUUUGGUAGAUAGAGGUUGAUAGAUGAGAAGUGCAUGAUAGAAAGUAUGUGGGGUUGAGUCCAGUUAUUAGAGGUGAUGUCUGCGAGUAAGUUAGAACGUUAGUCCUCGACAACGACGCUUUAAGUUAAGCGGGACAAGGUGGGCCCAUAACCCACAGGGCGACAAUUCAGAAAAUCGAAGAUAUGCUAUGUGUUGUGUUAUGGACUUCAAAGGCAACUGGAUGAAGCAUAAGAACGUGGACUACAUGGGCGAGAGUUAUUACGAACGAUAAUGUCGACGAUGAAUUUUACGAGGCUAUUACGAGUCAACAUUGAGUGAUUAUCAAGAACGUUAAAAAGAAGACAUAUGACGAACAACGAUUUAUUGAAGCAGAGCAAAAAUCUGAGAAGACCUUGGCAAUACCUCUCUUCAACUAAAGAUUCUUUUGAUUGUUUUCUCAUCAGUGAGAUAUUAUCAUGAUAUCUUUUCUACAAAAGUUUUGAUAAAUGAGAUAUUCAAUUUCUCAAAUUCUAAGAUGACAUUGAUAUUGACUAUUGGUGUGAGUUGGUAUUGAUUUGAUGGGUGAUAAAGGUUUGAUGUGAAAAAGACAGUGAUGUCCCUUGAUAUUGUUUGAUAUUCCAUGACAUUCCUUGAUAUACUUUCAUAUUUUUGAUAUCCCUUGAUACUUCUUGAUAUCCUUUAACAUUCCUUCACGAUAUUUGAUAUUCCUUGACAAUCUCUGAUAUUCUUUGAUAUUUCUUUAAUCUGAUUGGGAUGAACAACCCUAUUUAUAGGGGACACAAGGUAUACCUGUCUGUGUGAUAGGAGUUGGAUGGGACGCCAUCACUUGUGUGUGUUGUGAUUACAAGAAGGUUAACAACCUUUAGUAGUGUCUAAUAUGGACACGCAACAUUAAGUUCAAUUGAUCGUAUUGAUCUCCCAGUCACCCUUGUAUUCCAAUGUGACCUAUUUUGAAAACACCUAGUUCUAUUCGAAAAUUCCCAAAGAUUGAUUCUUGGAAAAUGAAUUCUGUAAUUAUGAAAGUGUUGAUAUUCCUAUUUCUUCAAAAUUGAAGGUAUGCCAAGGUUGAUCAAAGGAGGAUGAGCAUGUGAUAUUACGAAGCGUGUACGUUUUAGUUUUCUUCGGGGGAUUCCGGGGACGGAAUCCUUAUAAAGGGGGUAGAAUGUAAUAUCCCAUAUUAUUAAAUUUAGAUGUGAUUAUUAUAAAUCUAUUUGUCUAAAUAUUAUUGUUGGCUGUAGUUGAAAAGCGAAUUGAUUAUGUGAAUAGUUUUAUGUGAUUAUACUUGUUCUGUGGAUUGAUAUGGAUUUUACGGAUUUUGCGUUCUCCUUCUUUCUCUGAUUCCGAGGACGGAAUCCCUAUAAGGAGGGUAGAUUGUAAUAACCCGGAUUUUAAAAAUAUUUUUAUUAAUAUUAUAAAUGAUUUUCUUAAAAAGAGAGGAAUAAGAUUUAAUAUUUUAUUCCAGUUUAAUGAGUUUUCAAGGUUUUAUAUUUAAACCUCGGGUUAUUGUGUUAUUGAUAAAUAAUUGUAUUUUCAAAACUGAUUUUCAUAUAUUGUUUUGAAAAUUCUAGAUGAAUAUUAUGUGAAUAUAUGUGGUAUGUGACUAAGUGUUACUUGUGGUUUUGCUAGUUUAAUUAAUUAUGGUGAGUUACGAUUAUUAUAUGAUUAAUAUAUGAAUUUUGUGAAUUUUGUGUUAUCUAGUUUAUUGAGCUGAAUGCUCGUAUGUGUUCGUAUUCGCGAGAUUUCAAUUUCUAUAUGCUCAGGAGAAAAUAUAGUUUAUUUGGAUAUUUUCAUUUCGAUUUAUGGAAUGUUAGAUGAUUUUAUAAUCGAUUUACGGAUUUAAUUGCGUAUAUUUAUAUUUAAUUAUUGAUUAUUUGACUUCCGUAAAACCGUCCACUCGUAACGAGGUAGCAAAUUUUCUUCCCGGAAGUUUCAACAAAACUCACCUUUAGCCUAAUUUCAAUAUUCCGGACAUUUUUCGUGUUUUGACUUUUUCGAUCCGGAGUACGGUUUUCCCCGUAGUCGGUCCGGCGGAGUUUUUCGGGUAUUUUAAUUGUUGAUAAUUAUCCAGUUUGUCUCGAUAUACGUGAAACUAGAUAUUUUGAUUCAUCCUUAUCUUGUAAUAAUUGCAGUGGGACCCGCAUACUAAUGACUGAUUAAAAAGCCCCGUUCUGAUGAUUAUCUUGAAAACCAGUACCCAUUGGACCCUGCUUUAUUAAUAUAAAGCUACUAAAUACGUAUUUUCAUGUCAUAAACGAUCCAAAGGGGUACCAAUUAUUUGUAAAUAUAAAUAGACUUUUCUAUAGCUGAUUUUCACCCGUAAAAUCAUUUCACCAGUUUCUUUUCACGAAUACCGAGAGAAACCGAGCUGCGUUCUUCGUGUUCUUCGUAAUCAAACGAAGAUUUGAAGGUGUUAUUGGAAUCCGAUGGAGGCGUAUAAAUAGUCAAAACGAAGCUAUCGACGCGUAGAAUCAAGUUUAAUCACCCGUUUAUAUGCAGAUUCAACAGGAUUUGGACGUGACGAGUACGCUUGAAGACAUCAGAAAGUCAGAAUGGUAUUGCAAAGCGAAUAAGGGAUGAAUCGAGUAAGCGAAGCGAAGGUGUACGGUAGAUAGAGUAUAGCCAGAGAUGGUCUAGAAACUAUGAUAUGCAUAGAUUGUGAAAGUGGAAAGAUGAGAAUGAGCUGUGAGACGGGAGUCAGAUUUAAGAAAGGCUUAAAGAUGAGAUGAUUGAUUGAGAUUGUGAAUAAGGCUAAUGCUAGGCGAGGAGACAGAGUUGAGGAUCCAGUGGUCGAGGAGUGUUCAGGAAAGUUGAUGAGGUUGGUGCAAGCUAGAACUGUGCUAUGGAGAUUCAAGUGUAAGUCAUAGCUGGAAUAGUUGACAGUGAUUCUUCUUAUCGAAGAUGAUCUGAUUGGUAAGAGAUGUUGUGUAAUAGUUAGUGGUUGAUUCUAAUUUCAAUACUGUAACCUGGAUGCGAUCCUGUUGUUUUGGGGGUGAAGAGGUUCUCUUUUAAAUCUUUUAUUUAA
Long non-coding RNA from Daucus carota subsp. sativus, 5329 nucleotides. RefSeq lists it as uncharacterized. The record is from RefSeq and is a predicted model, not a curated record. Lineage: Eukaryota; Viridiplantae; Streptophyta; Magnoliopsida; Apiales; Apiaceae. The transcript has 5 exons.